UCGAAACCUGCAAAGCAGACCCGUGAACAUGUUAUUUCUCUCAGGGAGGACAACGUGGGCACAGCUAACCAUGUUGUCCCACGUUGAAGCCCCAUUCCGUCGAUGUGCACAACCGUGCCCGUCGUUCGGCUUAACGAACCCCGGCGCGGAAAGCGCCAAGGAAAACACAAAAACACUGCUUGCCUCUCGUAGCCCCCGUUCGCGGUGUGCACCUGAGGAUCGGGCGUGUGUCGAAUUUAAAA
This 242-nucleotide unclassified non-coding RNA is filed under the name Ligustrum japonicum. RNAcentral's name for it is "partial ITS1". Lineage: Eukaryota; Viridiplantae; Streptophyta; Magnoliopsida; Lamiales; Oleaceae. RNAcentral also lists the same sequence under 4 other names. The record is from RNAcentral.